CUGGUGUCAGCCGCCGCGGUAAUACCAGCACCCCGAGUGGUCGGGACGAUUAUUGGGCCUAAAGCAUCCGUAGCCGGUACUGCAAGUCUUCCGUUAAAUCCACCUGCUCAACAGUUGGGCUGCGGGGGAUACUACAGCGCUAGGAGGCGGGAGAGGCAAGCGGUACUUAAUGGGUAGGGGUAAAAUCCACUGAUCCAUUGAAGACCACCAGUGGCGAAGGCGGCUUGCCAGAACGCGCUCGACGGUGAGGGAUGAAAGCUGGGGGAGCAAACCGGAUUAGAUACCCGGGUAGUCCCAGCUGUAAACGAUGCAGACUCGGUGAUGGGCUGGCCUUGUGCCAACCCAGUGCCGCAGGGAAGCCGUUAAGUCUGCCGCCUGGGGAGUACGGUCGCAAGACUGAAACUUAAAG
Molecule: ribosomal RNA, 409 nt
Filed under: uncultured Nitrososphaerota archaeon
Lineage: Archaea; Thermoproteati; Nitrososphaerota
Description: bacterial SSU rRNA
Rfam family: Archaeal small subunit ribosomal RNA
Source: RNAcentral